AUACCCGCUGAACUUAAGCAUAUCAAUAAGCGGAGGAAAAGAAACCAACCGGGAUUACCUCAGUAACGGC
RNAcentral lists this ribosomal RNA (70 nucleotides) under Erysiphe palczewskii. RNAcentral's name for it is "partial 28S ribosomal RNA". It matches the Rfam family "Eukaryotic large subunit ribosomal RNA", at positions 21 to 90 of the family's 3401-position model. The record is from RNAcentral. Lineage: Eukaryota; Fungi; Ascomycota; Leotiomycetes; Helotiales; Erysiphaceae.